AGUUCUGCUUCCUGUGUGGCUGCAGAUGACAACACCCCAUGAGAAGGACCCAGCCUCCGAGUGUCCACACUGGGUGGGAAGGAGGGGAGGCUAUUUCUCUCUGUGUGUCUCUGUCCUGCCAGCACCGAGGGCUCAUCCAUCCGCAGAGCAGGGCAGUGGGAGGAGACGCUAUGACCCCCAUCGUCACAGUCCUGAUCUGUCUCAGGGAGUCCCGUGACCCUCUGGUGUCAGGGGAUCCUGGAGACCCAGGAGUACCGUCUGUAUAGAGAAAAGAAAACAGCACCCUGGAUUACACGGAUCCCACAGGAGAUUGUGAAGAAGGGCCAGUUCCCCAUCCCAUCCAUCACCUGGGAACACACAGGGCGGUAUCGCUGUUUCUACGGUAGCCACACUGCAGGCUGGUCAGAGCCCAGUGACCCCCUGGAGCUGGUGGUGACAGGAGCCUACAUCAAACCCACCCUCUCAGCUCUACCCAGCCCUGUGGUGACCUCAGGAGGGAACGUGACCCUCCAUUGUGUCUCACAGGUGGCAUUUGGCAGCUUCAUUCUGUUGAUCUCCUGGAGCUCCUGGUCCUAGCUCCCUGGCCCACAGCCCCAGGCUGGGCUCUCCCAGGCCAACUUCACCCUGGGCCCUGUGAGCCGCUCCUACGGGGGCCAGUACAGAUGCUCCGGUGCAUACAACCUCUCCUCCGAGUGGUCGGCCCCCAGCGACCCCCUGGACAUCCUGAUCGCAGGACAGUUCCGUGGCAGACCCUUCAUCUCGGUGCAUCCGGGCCCCACGGUGGCCUCAGGAGAGAACGUGACCCUGCUGUGUCAGUCAUGGGGGCCGUUCCACACUUUCCUUCUGACCAAGGCGGGAGCAGCUGAUGCCCCCCUCCGUCUCAGAUCAAUACACGAAUAUCCUAAGUACCAGGCUGAAUUCCCUAUGAGUCCUGUGACCUCAGCCCACUCGGGGACCUAC
RNAcentral lists this unclassified non-coding RNA (960 nucleotides) under Homo sapiens (human). Its description in RNAcentral is "leukocyte immunoglobulin like receptor A1 (ENSG00000274935.5, ENSG00000277398.5)". The record is from RNAcentral. Lineage: Eukaryota; Metazoa; Chordata; Mammalia; Primates; Hominidae.